CUUUAGCAAUAACAAGUAUUAAAGGUCCCGCCUGCCCAGUGAUAUAUUUAACGGCCGCGGUAUUCUAACCGUGCAAAGGUAGCGUAAUCACUUGUCUUCUAAAUAAAGACCAGUAUGAACGGCUAAAUGAGGACAGGCCUGUCUCCUACAACUAAUCAGUGAAACUGAUCUUCCAGUACAAAAGCUGGAAUACGCACAUUAGACGAGAAGACCCUGUGGAGCUUCAAGCCAACUAUUAAAAAGCACACCACAGCACCUAAUACACGGCUUUAAGUUGGGGCGACUUCGGAAAAAAACAAAACUUCCGAGCAGAGAACCACAAAUUCUAACAAUGGCCAACAAGCCAAAGUUUAAUCCACACCAGACCCAGUACCACUGAUCAACGAACCAAGUUACCCCAGGGAUAACAGCGCUAUCUUCUUCAAGAGUCCAUAUCGACAAGAAGGUUUACGACCUCGAUGUUGGAUCAGGACACCCAAAUGGUGCAGCCGCUAUUAAUGGUUCGUUUGUUCAACGAUUAACAGUCCUACGUGAUCUGAGUUCAGACCGGAGUAAUCCAGGUCGGUUU
RNAcentral lists this ribosomal RNA (568 nucleotides) under Amphiglossus sp. MMB-2003. RNAcentral describes it as "partial 16S ribosomal RNA". It matches the Rfam family "Bacterial large subunit ribosomal RNA", at positions 1820 to 2637 of the family's 2925-position model. Lineage: Eukaryota; Metazoa; Chordata; Lepidosauria; Squamata; Scincidae. The record is from RNAcentral.